CAGUCGCCACGGUAAUACGUAGGUGGCAAGCGUUGUCCGGAAUUAUUGGGCGUAAAGGGCUCGCAGGCGGUUUCUUAAGUCUGAUGUGAAAGCCCCCGGCUCAACCGGGGAGGGUCAUUGGAAACUGGGAAACUUGAGUGCAGAAGAGGAGAGUGGGAUUCCACGUGUAGCGGUGAAAUGCGUGGAGAUGUGGAGGAACACCAGUGGCGAAGGCGACUCUCUGGUCUGUAACUGACGCUGAGGAGCGAAAGCGUGGGGAGCGAACAGGAUUAGAUACCCCCGUAGUCCCUGUCUCUUAUAC
Molecule: ribosomal RNA, 301 nt
Filed under: uncultured bacterium
Lineage: Bacteria
Description: partial 16S ribosomal RNA
Rfam family: Bacterial small subunit ribosomal RNA
Source: RNAcentral